UACGUAGGGGGCAAGCGCUAUCCGGAAUUACUGGGUGUAAAGGGCGCGUAGGCGGUUAUUUAAGUUAGAUGUGAAAUCCCAAGGCUCAACUUUGGAACUGCAUCUAAAACUGGGUAACUAGAGUGUGGGAGAGGAAAGCGGAAUUCUCAGUGUAGCGGUGAAAUGCGUAGAUAUUGAGAGGAACACCGGUGGCGAAGGCGGCUUUCUGGACCAUAACUGACGCUGAGGAGCGAAAGCGUGGGGAGCAAACAGG
RNAcentral lists this ribosomal RNA (253 nucleotides) under uncultured bacterium. RNAcentral's name for it is "partial 16S ribosomal RNA". It matches the Rfam family "Bacterial small subunit ribosomal RNA", at positions 524 to 776 of the family's 1533-position model. The record is from RNAcentral.